GGACGAUGAGGAUAACAAUUUGGUUCGCUCGUCGUGCGUAAUGGCAAAAUUGCCUUGCCGAUACCAUUCAAUAUUUCUGAGUCC
Molecule: small nucleolar RNA, 84 nt
Filed under: Prunus dulcis (almond)
Lineage: Eukaryota; Viridiplantae; Streptophyta; Magnoliopsida; Rosales; Rosaceae
Description: sRNA ncRNA
Source: RNAcentral